CAUGCACAGUUAAGCUGGCAAUACUAUGUACACUCUUUUAAUUGCCAGCAUCAAAUCUCCAUGAGAACUGCAAGAGGAAAACCUCCACGUUUUUGAGCUUUCUAAUUUUUUGGUGUUUUUUAUAUUAUGAAAAAUACUGUCGGCUCUUUCAAGCUUCAAUAACUGACAUUUCCCACCUCAGGUUCUCAAGGCCCUUUGCAAAGAAAGGCAAACAAUGAAAGAAUGUGAAAAAUGCUUUUGGGUGAGAGAGAAAAUUAAAUUACGCUCAUGUUCUUACAAAAUACCAGAAGAGAAGAAAGGCAAGCAGCUUCUACUGAGAGAAAUCUGAAAAGCACAGUGCUCACAGAAGAGAGUUGGGAACGGUGUUUGAAUUACAGGAGAUGCAGAUAAGAACAGCUACCUACAGAAAACCCUAGAACCUGUCUCUCGGGGCUUUCUCCACCCAAGGCAUGUAAGAGGUUACUGGCCACAGAUGUUUGCUGCCAGCCCACCUGCCAGCUCCAGCUGGCCUGAUCCAGCCGUACCAUAAUAGGGCUAGCCCCAGAUGGAGCUUGUGGAGUGAGGUCUUGGUUUCUUUUCAUUGAUGAGGGCUCUUCCACGUGAAGAUGACUCAGAAGGUGAUGUUGAAACAUGGUGAAUUCUGUCUGAAAAGCUACUGACAGUGACAUUGUGGUUUCUGGC
RNAcentral lists this long non-coding RNA (681 nucleotides) under Gallus gallus (chicken). The record is from RNAcentral. Lineage: Eukaryota; Metazoa; Chordata; Aves; Galliformes; Phasianidae.